AGAGUUUGAUCAUGGCUCAGGAUGAACGCUAGCGACAGGCCUAACACAUGCAAGUCGAGGGGCAGCACAAAGAGUAGCAAUACUUUUGGUGGCGACCGGCGCACGGGUGAGUAACACGUAUGCAACCUACCUGUAAGCGGGGAAUAACCCGGAGAAAUCCGGACUAAUACCGCAUAACACUAUAUUUUCGCAUGGGAAUAUAGUUAAACAUUUAUGGUUUACAGAUGGGCAUGCGUAUGAUUAGCUAGUUGGUGAGGUAACGGCUCACCAAGGCAACGAUCAUUAGGGGUUCUGAGAGGAAGGUCCCCCACACUGGUACUGAGACACGGACCAGACUCCUACGGGACGCAGCAG
Molecule: ribosomal RNA, 354 nt
Filed under: uncultured bacterium
Lineage: Bacteria
Description: bacterial SSU rRNA
Rfam family: Bacterial small subunit ribosomal RNA
Source: RNAcentral